Molecule: long non-coding RNA, 2080 nt
Organism: Phacochoerus africanus (Common warthog)
Lineage: Eukaryota; Metazoa; Chordata; Mammalia; Artiodactyla; Suidae
Exons: 5
Source: RefSeq, a predicted model, not a curated record
CUCUGGAAAGUUCAGGGAAAAACAGCUCCAACAACUUAUAUCCAGAAGCGGUGAUAAAAGCAGCUUUCUGAUUGGCCAGAGGCUGGCUUGGACCAUCUCGGGAGGAACGCGUACCCUCCUCCCCUUCUGGAAGUGGGUUCGCCCACGGAGGGGGCCAGUUGGGAGCGCGGGAGACUGGAGCGGCGCCUGCGCAGUGGACAAGGUGCAGUUGCCCAAGCGGAACUUUGAACCCGCUCUGUUGGGCCGAGGUUCUUGUCGCCCCCUCAAGUCCCAGAUUCCGGGGAGCGCGACCGUAAGCUGCAUCAAGAAAUCUAGUCCUUGGCUCGCAUCUCACAGGGAAAUCUGAUUUUUAAAGCCCGAGAAUGUCAUGCUUUAAAAUGUAAAAUAGGAAAGUGUUGACAGUGAUGUCUGUGGACAAAGGGAGCACAAGUGAGUUUAAUGUGGGGGAGCAGCGGGACUCAGACACUUGAAGCCCUACUUUCCUGAGUCCAGCCCCUCUUGUAAAAUGGAGAAUAUAUCACAUACCACACAUCAUCGAAUGAGAAAGCCAGCCCCAGGACACUCCCCACCCCACAGGGAGGCUCUGAGGAUGUCUGUUGACUUUCUGGGGGAGGCUCCUCUUGCUGAAAGAGGAACCUCAGACUGAAAUCACUGCCGCCGCCGUCUUCCUGACCUGGUGACCAUCGUGGCACAUCGCCUCACCCCUGAGCCUGUUUCCUCGUUAAAAAUGGGCUAGUGGAACCCACCUCCUGGGGUUGUCCUGACGCUCAAAAGAAGGUCUGUAAGUGCCUGGAACAUAGUAGGGGCUCAACAGUGAGGAAUGGAUGAAUGAGAAGAGAUUCAUCUGGACAAAUUUCAUUGAUCAUCACUGCCGUAUGCCAGGUGCAUGCACCCCUGUUCUGCCUCUGCUGGGCCCCCCUGGGAUGGCUGGUGCUGAGCAGGAAGAUGCCCUCAGUGAAGGUGCCUGCCCCCCGGGGGCUUAUCAUCACAGGCCUUUCAGUUACCUGGAACUUGCCUCACCUGCUCAGUGUCUCCCUGUGGCUACCAGCCUUGUGCUGGGCCAUGAACACACAUACACUCCACACAUUUCUGUGGAUGCUUCAGCCUUGAAUUGGGAGUGAAACAGUGCAAGCUGCCUGGAAGUUUCUUUCUUUGGGACUCAUUCCUGGCAUUGUGGUUAAGAUGUGUCUCCUGCCUUCCCCUCACCUUUGUCUUCUUUGGAAACAUCGUGCAAGUCUGUCUCAGACACCCCAGGCCUCGGAGACGGGACGGAAGGCGUUUGCCACCCUUUCCAAUAUGCGUCUCUGAGAUGCCAUGUCCCCAGCCUGCCAGACACUAGGGGGCCUCAGGCCUAUUCUAGGUGCUGGGGCCAGAGCUGAACAAAAUGAAGUUCCUGCAUUUGUGGAGCUGGACAUGAAUCCCCAGGAGAGAGAGAGAGAAGCAAGCAAUGGCAAGCCUGAGGCUCGGAGGAACUAGAACACCUCUAGGGACUUGGCGGAGCAAGGAUUCACAUCCAGGCCCGUGGAUCAGCCUCUGGAUCCUGAAGGAGGGGCACGACACCUGCCGCUCAUCCCUCAUGACUGAAUUCAGGCGUCACCUCUUUCCAGAAGCCCUCCUUGAUUCCCCCCUUUCCCGAUUACACGCCAUGCUCACGUUCCCUGUGUUGCCUGGGACGGUUACAGCGGAGCAAUGAUCCAUUGACUUGCCUGCUGCCACCCUGUCUGUGAGCCCGCUGGGGUCAGGGACCUCUCAGAGGCAGAGCGGGAAGGAAACUCUGUCGACCUCGACACACGUGGAUCUGGGUUCAAAGCCUAGCUCGCCAACGUACCAGCCAUGUGCCCUGGUGGCAAGUCGCUGAACCUUUAGGAACAUCAGUUUCACAUCUGGAGACGGAAGACGCUCUUUUUCUUCUAGGGCUAUGCCAAGGAGGCUUGAUGAUAUCAUCUCGUGCCCUGAGAGAGUCUUUCUGCUUCUCCACCUGCUUCUCCAUUAUGAUUAGAUUGCUUUUGUUUUCCCUUAGUUUCAGCCCUUUCUGAAUAUUUUCAGACUGUCUCCCUGACCACAUGAAGAGUAGAAUGGG